Molecule: long non-coding RNA, 858 nt
Organism: Malurus melanocephalus (red-backed fairy wren)
Lineage: Eukaryota; Metazoa; Chordata; Aves; Passeriformes; Maluridae
Exons: 3
Source: RefSeq, a predicted model, not a curated record
CAUGAAGCUGAAUACCAUUUUAUGAGAACACAGGGUCGGGAAUUAGUUUUACUGAAGAAGAGAAGAAUCAUACAUUUGGAAAUAGUUGCUAUAUUAAAAAAGUACUAGUGUUCAGGCUGUGGUAGAAGAAAGGAACAAGAGCACUACAGUUUCCCCUCUGGGUGCCAGCAAACCAUCUUAGGAUUCAUUCUGAAUGUUUCAGUUUGACCCUGAGCAGAACUCGUUGACCUGGAAGCUGCAGCUCAUGGAAAACUUGCUUCUCUUUUGGAGAUCAACAAGCUGUUCACCUCUGCUAUGCUGCAAGGCUUAUUCGCUUUAUGGUCACUUCUCAAAUGUCUGUGAGAAGAUUAUCUGGGCUAUGUAUUAUAUGUGUCAUGYUUUUUAAAAAAGAAAUCCUUUUCUGACCUCAUUCCAUGUUCAUGGUCCCAUUCUUAAAAGGUAAAUAUACUAAACAGAAUGUGCUAGCAUUUACUGUGUGGGUGGAGGUUAUCUCUGCUUAACUUUAUUUGGGGAUCCUGUCCCCUCCUGUCACUGUUCUUGGAGAACUGGCCAUAUUUAUGCUUGAAAUCUGAUGCUAUAGCGUUACACAGGGUUUGGUGUCUAAAGUACUGUGAACACCYACAAUAUUGUGAAAGUCAUUGUGAUUUGGAAUGACUUAUUCUUGACCACUCUUUGCCCUCUCCACRGUGUAAUUAUUCCUGCUAUUCUCUUUUUUCCUAUUCUUUGUACCUCUGAGCAAUUGAUUUCUUUUGAUAGGAGGUUUGAUUGAUGCUGUCUUGGCUAGAUAUCAGGUUUUUGAAUUUUGUUUCAGCUCUUUGUACUUUGGUAAUUGUGUAGCACUUGAAUAUUAGAGGCGCC